Molecule: ribosomal RNA, 253 nt
Filed under: uncultured bacterium
Lineage: Bacteria
Description: partial 16S ribosomal RNA
Rfam family: Bacterial small subunit ribosomal RNA
Source: RNAcentral
UACGUAGGGUGCAAGCGUUGUCCGGAAUUAUUGGGCGUAAAGAGCUCGUAGGCGGUCUGUCGCGUCUGGUGUGAAAAUCCAGGGCUUAACCCUGGACCUGCAUCGGGUACGGGCAGACUAGAGUGCGGUAGGGGAGAUCGGAAUUCCUGGUGUAGCGGUGAAAUGCGCAGAUAUCAGGAGGAACACCGGUGGCGAAGGCGGAUCUCUGGGCCGUAACUGACGCUGAGGCGCGAAAGCGUGGGGAGCAAACAGG